GGCCUCAGCUGCCCAGAACUCGCCCCUGGCUGCUCGUUCACAGCCCCGGCGCCUUCAGGCGGCUGCACUCGGCGAUUCUCCGAGCGAAUUGUUCGCCGAGAAUUGCUCCGUGCCAGCGAGUCCUGAACUCGCUAAGCAUUGGUCUCUGCGGCGGAUUCCUGAAUUCCGGUUGAAGUUUUGUUGAGGCAUUGUUGCUCACCUGGGAUAUCCUCCUUCCAAAAUGGCUUCUGGAUUCCCAGAAAAGACACUGGCACCUCAUCUUCUGCGCAGGGAAAGACUGAAGCCUGACACUAUCCAGCCCUGCAGGCAGCACUGGAGUCAGGCCACAGAGGUUCCUUGGUGUCUGAGCUCACUGGAGUGAAGAUGCCCCACUGCUGAGGCUCUG
This 385-nucleotide long non-coding RNA is filed under the name Taeniopygia guttata (zebra finch). Its description in RNAcentral is "lncRNA (ENSTGUG00000022454.1)". The record is from RNAcentral. Lineage: Eukaryota; Metazoa; Chordata; Aves; Passeriformes; Estrildidae.